UACGGAGGGUGCAAGCGUUGUCCGGAAUCACUGGGCGUAAAGGGCGCGUAGGCGGCUCAUGAAGGCUGUGGUGAAAGUCCGGGGCUCAACCUCGGAUCGGCCGUGGCGACUCGUGGGCUGGAGCACUGUAGAGGCGGGUGGAAUUCCGGGUGUAGCGGUGGAAUGCGUAGAGGUCCGGAAGAACACCAGUGGCGAAGGCGGCCCGCUGGGCAGUGGCUGACGCUGAGGCGCGACAGCGUGGGGAGCAAACAGG
Molecule: ribosomal RNA, 253 nt
Filed under: uncultured bacterium
Lineage: Bacteria
Description: partial 16S ribosomal RNA
Rfam family: Bacterial small subunit ribosomal RNA
Source: RNAcentral